Molecule: non-coding RNA, 12383 nt
Organism: Podarcis lilfordi (Lilford's wall lizard)
Lineage: Eukaryota; Metazoa; Chordata; Lepidosauria; Squamata; Lacertidae
Source: the annotation of a GenBank genome assembly
CCCUUUUUUCUUUAAUGACCUAGUUUUUUCUCUUCUUUAAGCACUAGAUGUUGUAUCCAAGGUGAGAAAGCAUCAUGUUACACACAAGAGGAAAGGCUCCCAAUAAUUCCAGGCACACCUUUUUAACGUGCUCAUUUGAAGUUGUUUCAUGAACUCUGUCGCUUAGAGGUCACACUGAUGCCAUUUCGGAAUAAUCUUCAGAGAAGCGCCUCUCUCUGAACAAAGCCCCCUCAGAUGGCUCUGCUUCCCACCAAGUCCUGCUUACGGUGGAAUCCAGCUAUCGCCUUGCUCUGUGGUAAGCCCACAUUGCCAUAGCAACCCAGUGUUGCUCCACACCUUCAGAACAGACUACCAUGGCUUGCAAAGCACACUGAGAUGAAUGAAGCCUGUUUAAAAGAAGGGAAGAAGAGAAGGGCAGGGUAAGACACAAGUCAGAUUAAUGGCUGGAAUACAAUCAAAAACAAAAGUUAAAAUGAAAAUGUUAAUCAUUUAAAAGAGGGCCUUGGUGGAAUUGCUUGCUUUAUGGCUUAGAAUAAAAAAUAGAAGCAGGGAAAGAAGUAGAAGUCUCUAUAAGAAUAAUUUAGUGUCUGGUGUAAUGAGCUUCCUUUUUCUUUGGUAGUUCACUGUGCUGCCUUAUCACUUACCCGGUGAUUGACUGAGUCCUCUCCUUGCUUGUUCCUGCUAAGCAGCAAUUCACCAUCUGGCAGUCAUAAUUUCUUUUUUAUCCUAUAUUCCUUUGUAAUUAGGAAAUAAGUUACGUCCCACCCUGCUUGGGAAGAAAGAAACAUGUCUGGCAUAUUAUUUACAGAUGACACUCUAAGGAGGUGGAGCCAUUUUGUUAAUGAUGGGUGGCAGUGCUUUUUUCUAGCAAAAGAGGUGCCAGAACUCACCAUGAACACCUCCCUUGUUCUCUUAGAAUGGCAAUGGUGACCACCUGAGAGGAGACAGAACCCAUCUGAGAGGUGCCAGAACUGAGUUUCUGCAAGUUCUAGCUGACAAAAGCCCUGAUUUGUGGGGAGUUUGAGCCCUGUCCUGAGAGCACAGUGACCCAUACCCUAAAGAAACAUACAUUCCUAUCUGGCUUCUAGGAAAAGUAUUUAUAUGUGAUUUUAAUUAACACCUAAGUUUGGAUUGUUACUGCUUUUUUUUAUAUAAAGGGUGCAGUGUGGUUUUAAUCUAUGCUUUUAUAUGGCAUUAUAUUUUGCUGUUAUUCUCUUACACACUGCCAUGUGAGGGUGACAUUCCAUGAAGGGCAGUUUUGAAAUAGUUUAAUAAAUUAAUUUAUUUCUGCUUAUUUAAAACAGUUAUACAGGUCACCUUUAGGAGUGAAAUUAACACAAAGGAUAUCUUCUCAAGUGGCCCCCCAAGUUACGAAUUGCUGCUACUGCUACUUACUACAAGUAUUUAACAUUUAAUAAUAAUAAAAAAUGCAUGCAGCUGAAUAAAACAUGGAAGCAGAAGAGGGCUAUAACUCAGUGGCAGAGGACAUCCUUUGCAGGCAACAGGCUUCAGUUUCAAAUUCUGGCAUCUCCAGGCAUGGCAGAAGAAGAACUCUGGAGAGCCACUGCCAGUCAGUUUAGGCAGGGCCAGCCAAAGGCAUAUUGGCAUCUGAGAGGGACCCCAGCAUGGUGACCCCUUCCCCAUGGGGUGAGGAAAGAACCACAUCAGGAACAAGGGGGAAAGAAAGUUUGACAUUGGGAUCUGCUGUCCUGGUGGAUCCUGCCACCUGAUGCCUCACCUGGCCUCAUGGGCCGGCCCUGAGUGUAGGCAACACUGUGUUAGAUGGAUCAAAGGUCUGACUCAGUCUAAUACAGCUUCUUAUAUUCCUACUAAUCAUGGUCUCUGCUCCUUGUAUGAUUGCUAUCAGAGGGUUCUUCACACAUUAUGGGAGAUAAAAGCAAUUUAUUAAACAUUACUUGUUUAUUUAUAAGAUUUCUAACCUGCCCUUCACCAUAAUGUCCCAAGGUGGAUUACAGUCAUAAAAUAGACAACUGGAAGAACUGAUAAAGGUGUUAGCAAUUAUGAAACAAGUAUAACACCAUUCUAAAUGGAACAGAACAAUAUGAAUUUUACCAAAAGAAGUGGGUCUCACAAAAUAAAAGACAUUAACUGUCAACAGGGCUGUCUUAAGCAUAUGCGGCGCCGGGGUGCAAAGAUCCACCUGGUGCCCCCCCCAGUUGCCCAAUCCCAGGUGCGCAGGAGGGCAGAGCUGGCCGGCCACCUCAGCGUCUCGCUGGCUUGGUCACCCCCGAACUCACAGCGCAGAGCCGCCCACAGCAGAGCGGCCUGCCGCGGCGCUCCAACCAGUGGGCGGGCACUUCCCUGGACACAACUCUCAGCCCCAGACUUUCGGCCUGGCGCCCCUGAGUGCCCUGCGCCUGGGUGCCCCGCACCCCUAGCACCUAUGGGUAAGACGGCCCUGACUGUCAAAGGCCAGCAUGUGGUGAAAACUGUACAAGGAAGGUGCAAGAUGCAACUAUGUGGGUGGGGGGAGUUGCACAAUUUAGCAGCUGCCACAGAGAAAGCCCUUUUCUGAGCCAUUGUUCCCCACAUUUGUGAGGGUGGCGGAAUACCAAGAGAGCCCCUCUGCAGAUCUUAACACCCAAGAAAGCCAGUAGGGAUGGAGAUGAUCUUUCAGACACGUGAAUGUGGCAGAACCAACUAGUGGACUCUUGAAGCACAUGCAGAACUCAUGUUCUAUCAUAUAUUCCUCCCCAUCUAGAAAUACCAAUGGAUGCACCUUUCUUCUGUCACCUGUUUUACUGAGAUUUGUCAGUGGCAGCACCCAUGCUAUGGGAUUCCCUUCCCAGAGACAUCUCUUUGGCUCCUUCACUUGCUAUUUCACCAAGAAUUAAAGAUACUUUUUUCAGGUGGCCUUUUCUCCUGCCUAACAACUUUUUUGUGUAUGUAUUUUGAAAUCUUGGCAGAUGGUUUUUAAUUGGUUUUAACUGCUGCAAUGUUGCUUUUUGCACACUUUGUAUUGCCCCCCCCAUUUUCAGCAUUUCUCACUUGUUCUACCAUGAGGCUUUACAGUUUUAUUCUUGUUCAAUCAUAUGUUGUCUUGAAUAUACUGUUGAAAAAAAUAUCAAUAGGUGAAAUCAGUGCACUUGCACACAUGUUUGCUUCCCUUUUAUUAUAGACGUGUAAUGUGGGGGUGGAAGAAAGGAUUUGAAAAAGGAACGGAGAUGAAUGGGUUAACUACAGCAUGGUUAACUGUGCUGACAGGUAUGGCUAAAGCAAAGUAAAAAAAAAAAGUGAGUGAAACUCAAGAAGGAAGAUUUUAAAAGAGGUAUCCUAAGGGAUAAAGAUGAGGAGGCCAUUGUAGGCAUAGAGAACAGUGGCAGAAGACAAAAAUCAAAAGUAAAAGCAGGAAGCGAGGGAGGUGGUGGCUAAUUAAUUCCUGGGCUUAUCUUGGGCCCUAAAAGAAGCCAAACUCAGAACACCAGAAGCUCUUCUCUGGAUAUGUCCUGAAUUAUAAUGCUGUGAUUUGUGGCGCAUAUGUAAUGCGACUGAGAAUCCAUUUAUUUGGGGUAUGAGCUCAAGAGACUCACAUUGAAGUUAAAUUUCAGAGGCAAUUCUCAACAAGUUAAGAACAAAACUAUAAGUGACUUAUUGGUAGAUAUGUGUAAAUAUUAGGAAUGUUGGAAAAUUACUAUGAGAACAGAAACAGGAGUGGAAAUUGCUAGUGUUCCCUUGUUCGUCCCAUCUCUGAAAUGGAAAUCAGUCCAGUGAAUACAACUGGCGUUUUGUUGCUGCUGUUGCUUCUAGUGUACAAAUGAUACACAACUAAUUAUGUUUGCCUCCAUUUGCCUUGCAUUGGCCUUGCAUGGAAAUGAAUGGGGUGGAAUCACAUAAUGACCUAAGGUAUGACAUCGGUGUAAAUUAUGAAAUAGAUUACGUAAAUUACAUUAUUUUGUCACGGCGGAAAGCGAGAUGAAUAACAUAGCUUCUGAAGUAAGGCCCCUAGUAAAUGCAAAAGUCUUAACUGUUAAAAGCAUACUGUGCGUUAGCCUUACAUAAAGGAAUAGCAACAAGGUCAGGAUAUCUGCCUGGAGAUAUUCAGACUAUUUUAGAAUCAGAAGUGGUCCAAGGUGAAGCAGGCUAGCUCCAAGGCUUUGAAGCUGCUUUAGCACUUGGGAGGACGUUGGUACCUGUUCCCCCCAAUCACCACCCCCAGAAUCCCCCCAAUUCUCUAUAAAUAGAAAUUUCCAGGCAGAGAGGAAAGGGGAAUCCUGAAGAGGAGUAUGGUUCUUUGAUGGACAGCUCUGACGGACAGAAUUACUUCAUUAAGACGGCCCUUUUGUUUCAAAUCACAGUGCUUUGGGGAGGAUGUAGAAAGACUUUGACUUCAGUACAGACUGAGCAGAAAACAAAGUAAGUUGUUUUUAAAAGCUUCAAUUACACUUUUUAAAAUUCAUCACUCCCUAAACCCUGCGUCUAUCCUCCUGAAAUUUUGCACAGAACCUACCUAAGGGCACCUCUGUAUUGUAUGUCCCUACUCAUGCAAAUUCUGAGAGCUCCCAUGCAUGCAGAGUUACAAUUCCCACAGUUCCUUGAGUAGAGCAAUUGAUAGUUAAAAUACUUUGAGAAGUGGAGCUGUGUGAGGGGAAUUGGAGCCUCCUAAUAACUCUCAGCACCCUUAACAAACUACAGUUCCAAUGAUUCUUUUGUCAUGCAUGACUGUUAGAAGUAGAAUAGCGCUUUGAAGGUUUGGUGUAGUUGUAGCCUAAGAGUGCGGAAUAAAAAGGAGGAAAUUUGUGACCCACCACAUUGGGAUGUGAGUUUGGUGGGAACAGAGGACAGGCCUUUGACUGUAGGAGUCCAGCCCUCCAUCGCUGCCUACUUUUAGAACGGCAGUAAAAAUGUUUGGCUCUGCAUAGCUUUCAAUAGUUUCAACGAUGCUUUGAUUUUGCUCCUCCUGGUUCUAAGAUAUUUUCCGGUCUGUCCUUCAUCUGGCUUAUUGUUUAAAAAUGGCUUUCUUCUUCAAGUAUUUCAACUAUUUAUGUUCAACUUUUCAUUGGGGGAAAAACCCACCCAAGUAGUUUACAAGCAAAUCAAAAGUAAACACUGUGUAGAAAACAAUAAAACUGAUAGUGCAUCAAAAUCCAUACGAUGGGAUUCUAUUCUUCAAUACCUGCAGAAGUUCAACACCUACUAAGGCACCCAUCCCUCAAUCAGGCUACACCUGCGCACAUUCCUCCACUUAAACCCACCCACACCCAUAAACACAAUUUCUCUCACUCUUAACGGUUGCCUUUAACGUCUUCACUUUUACGCAUUGCAUUUGGGGGCUUUGUUAAGACCAAAAGAUGGUUUAUAAAUAUUUUUUUAUAAACGAAUAAAUUCAUUUAAAAAACUAAAGCAAGGAUGACAAGAAAUGUAAUACAUUUAAGAACACACACACACCCGUUUUAUGCUACCUUCUCUCAGAGAACAAAGCAACUCCCUAGAAAUUCAUGGCUUUUGUGACAGAAACUGUAAGUAGGUGGCAGGGGAGGGGGAAAAAAGAAUUCUAAAGAGGGAAAUAGCUUUGUCUUGUCUCUUCAGUUACUGCAGAAAGAAACAUUUCAGAGUCGGAUCUCCGUUACACGUAGCUCACAGAACCAAAAUUCCUGGAUAGCUGAAAUUUCCUACGUGACCUCUACAUACUGCCAUGAUCAAUGUUAGCCUAUCUCGGCAUCUGAUUAUCCAAAUGUUUUGGCUCUCCCUAGGGCCGUUUAGUUAAAUGAGGCAGCACAGUAUUUAAAAAUGUACAACAGUGGAAGGAAACUGGUUAAAAAAAGCUAAUAAACACCCACUCAACCAUCCCACAUCAUCAUCUUCUGCUACACUUCACCUCCAGUCAUAACAGUGUGUUUUACGCUUACGCCUACAGCUCCCAGUUGGGGACACCAGCUGUAGCUUGCUUGCGCUCCUCUAAGCCACAAAGCAGAGAGGCCCCGGCACAGCCGCGCAGAGCGCAUUCUCCAUAGCCCCGAGAACUACGACUGCCAAUCUGUGCGGCAUGCUGACAGAACGGGGUUCGUGCGCCGUGAAGAAUAAAUGAAAUAAUUACAAGGCACCCACAGCACGGGAGGAUUCCCAACUGUUAAGUCACUGUACAAACGAGCUGUUUGGGGCUCACUUCUUUCCAGCAAGCCUUCAGUGUGUGGGGCAGGGAUUAUGUUCUUGUUGAAAUCUCUGCAGUACAGUAGUGACCCCAUAAGGUGUGUGGUGUACGGAGGCUCUAGACCACCUGCCAAAUCUGCAAGACCAUCAUAUACAGUAAUUUUGUCAUGCAUUCUCUUUUCUCUGACAGAUAUGCGCCAUGUCUGAAUUUCCCAGAGACAUGCACUGACAUAGUGUUAUCGGUUUUGCAUGUCCUAUGCAUCCUGACUUCCUGCUAUGUUCUGGAGUGCUUCUGGCUGCUUUGCCAUGAAGAGUCCUCAUCGCCAGUUGUAGACUUUUCUGUGCUAGCUACUGUUUGUUCUCUCUCUCCCUCCCUCCCUCAGCACUUCAGUUGUUUAUGUUUAAGAGCAGAGUGGUAAUGUAAAGGCUCUCCUACUGCUGGUGUGCACUUUUGGUUUAUUACAGUUUCUCGAAUGAUUGCUCUCCAAAGUGGAACUUUGUGGAUGUUUCCAGAAACACGGGCUUACCAUAUAUAAAUGUCACUGUUAGCAGAGCGGACCGAGGUGACAGAUGGAAUUGCUUUGCUUUGUGUGCGCUCCCUCUCGUCCACAUCUGUUUGGGAUAUUCUCUGGAUGUAAGAUUUAAGUGGUAAGCUUACAUAUGGAACUACAUCAUAUGGCAUUAUUACUAGCUUUUUUAAAAUUUUUAAUCUUGCUGCAUUAUGGCAGGUAAUGUAAAAAAGCAUGUGUGAGAGCAGGGCCACAAAGCAUAAAACGAAAGCAGAGACUGAAAGGCAAAUGGCUGAACUGGGAGAGCCCCACAAAAUGUAUUUUGCACAAGGCCCUACAAUGAAGAAUGGCUGCCAUUGCUGCAUCGGGUGUUAAUGGAUCAUUCAGGCACUUCUGUUGUAAGCCACAUCUGAACCAGAAAUUUAAAGCAUUAUUAUACCACUUCAACAGUCAUGGCUCCCUCCAAUGAAUCUUGGGAACUGUAGUUUGGGAAGAGUGUUGAGAUUUGUUAGGAGGCCCCUAUUCUCCUCACAAAGCUGCAAAGCUGGAUUUCCUGUGAAAAGAGAGUUACUAUUGAACCACUGUGAGAGCUAUAUAGUGCGGAUGUGGCCUUAGAAAGGAAGAGAAAGUAUUUUCUCUCAGAAGAGGCUGCGUGUUGUCUGGGGCCUUACUCUGAAGCACCUUAAACUUAGGUGAUGGAGUGACGGUUGAAGCUGGUUGGAGCAGUGAGGAACAGCAGCGUGCACACAGAACUUGCACACAACGCCACCCGAGAAAGCACACACACAGACAUAGAGGUUGAGUUCUUGCAUAAUUGUCAUACUGUGUCACAUAGGUGCCAACUCCCUGAGUAAGCACCCACAAAAUUCCCCAUGAAGAGGCUGGGUACCCACAAAUUUCAGUGCCAGAGACAUGGCCCCAGGCACCCAUGGUUGCGGGGACAAGUUGGCACUCCUGCUGUGUCAUUUUGUAAUGGGUGGAGGUAAAUACUUCCAUAGCUACUGUUUGGCCUAGAAGGGGAACUGCUAGUUAUAGCCCUCCACAACUUCCCUCCUGAGGAAAUAGCAGUUUUAGGGAGGGGAGGGGUGUUGGAAAAACAGUUUGAAGAGAAAAGUCAAUCCCACUUCCUUCACUGUAGUCUCAAACUGGAUAGGGAGCUCCUGGAAUCCCCCCCCCCCAAAAAAAAAUUAAAUGAAUCCAAAUGUGAUCAUGCAUUUCACAUGUUGCCCUUAAAGUAAAUCAUCUCAGAUGUAGAAGUGAAGUGUGCCUCUGGGAAAGAAGUGUGCUUCACCCAACACUCUCUCUGAACAAGGAAGACAGAAAGCUGUUAGCUAGAGUAACCAGAAUGCCACUCUUUAACGUGGACAAAUGCUCUUUUGCCUUUAAUGGCUCACUGGCCCAGGAGUAUAGCCUUUUCUGUCCAUUGAUAAGUACAACCAGUGUGAUGUCCAACCUGGACUGGCAGGAGAGAGAAGCCAUGCCAUGAAGCUCUGUAAGCAACCUUGGAGGAGAAACCACUUCAUUUCCUAGCAGAGCAUUCCCAAGUAAAGGAAGCUGGUCAAGUUUACACCAGUUUAAGUUGCAGUGAUGUAAAUUACCCUAUUCCAAACUCCAUUUGGGAGCAGUGUACUGCUUGCUGAGCCCACCUGAGCCUUGCAGAAGGAAAGCAAGGCUCUGAAACAGAAUUUGACUUACACCACCCUUUUUUACUAGUGUAAAUUCCCCUCAGUUACCAGGUCAUGUGCCUGAACUGAAAUUGGUUUGGAAUAGGUGUAAGUCUCCCACCUCCUGCAUGCCCAGCUUUUGGACUUAAGUGAAAGUUCUUCUGGGUGAGCCAGCAUAACCCGGUUGAGAUAGCUACACUGGUCUAGCCCCAUCUGAACCAAGACAGCCCAAGAUCUGCCUAUUCCAAGCUCUCACCCCAGUGAUUCUUUGGUUUGAACCGUGCUGUAACCUACUUAAAAACAACAACCAAAAAACAACAACAACAAACUGUUAAGAUAACAGCAUAAUUUCCAUAUGUACCACCCAAGAACCUUGGAUACAAAUAUGAUAGAUAAAUAAAACAUACACCUCCUGUAUUUAUUCCAUCAAAUAACUAGUAGAAGAGAGUCUUUCCCACUUGGAACAAUACAAAAAAAAUGCCCAUGUGCAAAAAUUGUGCAUUUUCUUUUUCCUGCUUUUGCAUCCUGUUUCCAGAUUAAUCUUAUGCAGAGUUAAUUGAAAUUAGCGGGCGUAGGUGCACCUAAUUCUCCAUAGGAUGGCAGCCUUAAUAGGGUAUUUAUGAGCAUCAGUUCAUCUGCACUUUCUGAAAGAGCAAAUGAAAGAGUUAUUUCUACAUAUAAAUGUGUGCAUAUCAUAUUUUUAAUCUAUGAAAGGACAAGUAGCAUAUCAUAGGAAGCAGGGCAUCUGCUUGAUACAGUGACCAAAUAUGAAUAUGCAGAGACAUAGAGGGAAUUUAUUACAGAGUUAAAAUGAGAAAGUGUCAAAAUAAAGAAAGGAAAGAAAUCAAUAUUUUGAAUCUGAGAACAUUUGAGUUCUGACUGGUUUUGUUUUGGCGGGGGGGUGUUUUAACCAUUGUGUGUAACACACGCACACAUACCAUAGCUGUCAACUUUUCCCUUUUCUUGUGAGGAAUCCUAUUCAGAAUAAGGGAAUUUCCCUUAAAAAAAGGGAAAAGUUGACAGCUAUGGUAUGUGUGUGUCAACUUUUGAAAAAUCAAAGGCGUAAAUUUUGAAUUCUGCAAUCCAAUAUGCUAAUCUGACAUGCUCUUCCUUGCCUCUUUGUACUCUGACAGGUAGCAGCCUAUAGGACACCAGCCAUUUACCAGCAACCGAAGCAAUGAGUAACGGAUUCAUAGGACCGAUCAAAUCAUAAUAAUCCCACCACAGUUAAGAAUCUAAGCACCCUGCCAGAUGAGACCUAAGGGCUAUCUAGUCCAGCAUCCUAUUUUCCAUAGUGGCCUCUGAAAGAGCCAAGCAAGAUAGGAAGGCAAUAGCCCUUCUGCUGCUCUCAUUUCCCAACAGAUGGCAUUGAGAGGUAUGUGGCCCCUGAUCCUGGCCAUUGAGGGGUAUAUCCUGGGGAGAGGUGGUGUGAUUGGCAUAUAGCCUGGGGAGAGUCUCAAAGGCCAGUCAAGGAGACCUGGAGGCCAAUGGAGCCCUCCAGGUCUCUGAGGUUCCUCACCUCUGAACGAUAUGGUGUAUGAAGAAGUACUUCCUUCUCUCUGUCCUGAACCUCCCACCAAUCAUCUUUAUUGGAUGAGCUCAGCUCCCAGUACUAUGAGAGAGGAAGAAAAACCUCUCUGGAGGAAAUGAAAUUGGUGCAUUCACACCAUUAAGGGGUAUUUUCAAGCUCAUGUCCAGUUGUAGACUGCAAAGUGUUACUGGAAUUAGAUUUGCAUGAUUUGGUAUAUUUAUAUUUUUAAAUUAGUAUUAUAUUACUUCAUAGAAACAGUAUAUUGAACCAUUUAGAUAUACACAAUCAUAUAUAUAUAUAUAUAUAUAUAUAUAUAUAUAUAUAUAUAAAAUAAUUGAUAAUAAUUUAUUAUUUAUACCUCACCCAUCUGGCUGGGUUUCCCAUAUAAAUGCCUGUCCCAUAUCUGUUUCUACAGGCCCAGCAGGUGCUAUAACUCCCUAAUGGUGAAAAACUCUGGAAACUCUGUGACACCCCUAGUUGUUUUAUUUCAAACGUUUAUGAGCAGAUUUGUCAAUAAAAAUAAUAUACCAAGUGACAUACCCAAAAUAACAAAUAAAGGUAGCAGGAACAAGAAAUAAUUACCACCUCGUAAAAUCUCAUAAAAUUUAAGAGCAGAAGUAAAACACAUUUUAAAAUAAUAAAAUACAAUUAAAUAGCGCUAAGACAAUAAAAUUAAAGAACUAUUAAGAGCCAUUUAAGGCACCAGUGAGCAAAUCCGUUUUAUGAAAGUCUGUGGAAUGCUGAAUGAGUUGGUGUCUCCCAGGACACUCUUCAAAGAGUGACAAGGUCUUCUCUUUGGUCACCACCUGCCUGGUUUCACCCGGCAAAGGAAACUUGAAGGAUCUCUGGUGCAGAUCUUAAACUCCAAGCAAGUUCAUACAGGAGAAUGCUGUGUUCCAAGGUCUGCAAAUCUUAGCAGGAUCUGGACUCACACUACACUUAGUAGAGCUAUAGGUUUAUUUCAGAGUUUCUUCCUUGCAUAGGAGUGCUUUUUAAGUUUUUCUGUACAGUCAUAUUUAUACAGUUAUACAUUUAUACACUUUCUCCCAAAACUUAGUGAGAAUUGGACACUGUAAGAAUGUAUCUUUCAAAGAGGCAUUAUCCUUAUUACUUCUCCAAGAAUGAGCUGCGUUAGACAGUCCUUCUCUAUACAAAUUCAACGGAGUUGUCCAAUAGAUUCCAAAUAUUAUUUUCUGUUGUGUAAGUCUUAGUUUGAGAUCCACCGAUACUUUGCUACAGAAGCUAAGAGACUGUUCCACUGUCUAGGUAGUAGAGAACAUCCAAUUCUUUAUUCCAAUCGUUUCUUAAAGUCUGUAUAUCAAACUUACUAAUUAAUAACAAAUAGGAAAUGAUUGCUUUUUUUUUUCUUUCAAAAGACUUGACCAAUUGUUCUAAUAUCUCCUGUGUCUCAGAAGCUGAGAAUGUAGGAAAAGCAUGGAAGCCAAAUUUGAUUAAUAGAAUACCUGGCCUCUAGUGGGCGGGGCUUUUAUGCUGUACUCUAGAAUUGGCCCCUCCCUUCAGGUUGUCAGUUAAAAAAGGAUAACUGUCACUUACCUUAAGAUGUUUCAUUUCUCUUAGUAUGUUACUAUGUUACAUUUUUCUACUAUUAAAGCUUUGUGUGUGUGUGUGUUUACUUCGCAGGAUGAAAAGACAAACUCUGCGAAAGAAGAAGGUGGAAUAUCUUACACUGGAUCAGUGAGGAGAUAUUUCCCUGACAGGAGGACUGGUUUUUAGUCACCUCCCCACCCACAAGAGAGAAAGCUGCUGGUCCAAACACUGUUGUUACAAGAUGUUGUAGCUGCAGUUAUUGCCAUUGGGAUGCAUCUGAUCAUGAUAUUUAUUUCUUAAAACACUGUACAUAUAAAAUUCAUCUUCCUCAUCCAUCAGUUGAUCCAAAGUCAAUAUGCCCGCUUCCACCUAAUUUAUCCAUAUUACCAGGGACUUCCGGGUUGGCGUCUCUGGCAAUGGCGGAUUUCCUCCGAUCGGGAGGAAUCCGCUCCGUGGAAAACAGGGUCUGAACCGCCACGGAGAGGCGGAGACCCAUCAAAAACCACAGGUGGGAGAAGCCUGUGGACGUGGGAUUCGGCUGGCACCUUUGCGCCUCCCCUACUCGCGGGGAAACCCGGUUUCGGGGAUCCGGAGCGACAUGGGGUGAGUGGCGUGGUGCUUUGAAUCGACUGCUUCUUUCACGGAGUGAAGCCGCAUUGCUGUUGCUGGAGAGCGCUGACUUUUCCUUCUGGACAAUUGGAUUUUUAACAACUGCCCGUGAGUAGAACAGAAAAUUGGAUUAAGAAAUUUUUUAAUUUGGCAUUGAAGUGGGAAGGUCUAAACAGGAAGUCCGCCUUCCACUUUUGUAGAUAGAUUGAAGCAAAGAUGCGGCAAGCUAGAGUUUAGAAAGUUGUCUGUAAAGGACCAAAAUUCCAUCAUUUAAAAUUACUGAACCCCCCUUGGAAGCAGGAGAAGAGGGGGGAACCUUUUUUUAGACUGUUUAAACCUGCAGAAGAGAGAGUAAAGAAAGGCAGUUUUCCACCGUCUUGAACCUGGGAGCGGGGUGUCAGGACAGACGUUCUG